UCAGAUUUGGUGAUAAAAGUA
RNAcentral lists this non-coding RNA (21 nucleotides) under Arabidopsis thaliana (thale cress). Lineage: Eukaryota; Viridiplantae; Streptophyta; Magnoliopsida; Brassicales; Brassicaceae. The record is from RNAcentral.